UGGCAAGCGUUGUCCGGAUUUAUUGGGCGUAAAGCGAGUGCAGGCGGUUCAAAAAGUCUGAUGGUAAAGCCUUCGGCUCCACAGGAGAAAUGCAUCAGAAACUGUUGAACUUGAGUGCAGAAGAGGAGAGUGGAACUCCAUGUGUAGCGGUGGAAUGCGUAGAUAUAUGGAAGAACACCAGUGGCGAAGGCGGCUCUCUGGUCUGCAACUGACGCUGAGGCUCGAAAGCAUGGGUAGCGAACA
This 243-nucleotide ribosomal RNA is filed under the name uncultured bacterium. RNAcentral describes it as "partial 16S ribosomal RNA". It matches the Rfam family "Bacterial small subunit ribosomal RNA", at positions 532 to 774 of the family's 1533-position model. The record is from RNAcentral.